CCUACGGGCGGCUGCAGUGGGGAGUAUUGCACAAUGGGCGCAAGCCUGAUGCAGCCAUGCCGCGUGUGUGAAGAAGGCCUUCGGGUUGUAAAGCACUUUCAGCGGGGAGGAAGGCGUUAAGGUUAAUAACCUUGGCGAUUGACGUUACCCGCAGAAGAAGCACCGGCUAACUCCGUGCCAGCAGCCGCGGUAAUACGGAGGGUGCAAGCGUUAAUCGGAAUUACUGGGCGUAAAGCGCACGCAGGCGGUCUGUCAAGUCGGAUGUGAAAUCCCCGGACUCAACCUGGGAACUGCAUUCGAAACUGGCAGGCUAGAGUCUUGUAGAGGGGGGUAGAAUUCCAGGUGUAGCGGUGAAAUGCGUAGAGAUCUGGAGGAAUACCGGUGGCGAAGGCGGCCCCCUGGACAAAGACUGACGCUCAGGUGCGAAAGCGUGGGGAGCAAACAGGAUUAGAUACCCCAGUAGUC
Molecule: ribosomal RNA, 465 nt
Filed under: uncultured Klebsiella sp.
Lineage: Bacteria; Pseudomonadati; Pseudomonadota; Gammaproteobacteria; Enterobacterales; Enterobacteriaceae
Description: bacterial SSU rRNA
Rfam family: Bacterial small subunit ribosomal RNA
Source: RNAcentral